Molecule: ribosomal RNA, 401 nt
Filed under: uncultured bacterium
Lineage: Bacteria
Description: bacterial SSU rRNA
Rfam family: Bacterial small subunit ribosomal RNA
Source: RNAcentral
AGCGAACGUUAGCGGCGGGCCUAACACAUGCAAGUCGAGCGAGAAAGUGGCUUCGGCCAUCAGUAAAGCGGCGGACGGGUGAGUAACACGUGGGUAAUCUUCCUUCGAGCGGGGGACAACGGUCCGAAAGGACCGCUAAUACCGCAUACGUUUCUCGGGACCUCGGUCCUGGGAAGGAAAGCUAGGUAGCAAUAUCCGGCACUCGAUGAGGAGCCUGCGUCGCAUCAGCUAGUUGGUGGGGGAAUGGCCCACCAAGGCGAAGACGCGUAGCUGGUCUGAGAGGAUGAUCAGCCACACUGGGACUGAGACACGGCCCAGACUCCUACGGGAGGCAGCAGUGGGGAAUAUUGGACAAUGGGCGCAAGCCUGAUCCAGCCACGCCGCGUGAGUGAUGAAGGCCU